GGUAGCCCGUUUUCCUCCUUCUUUCUAUAUAAUACAUCACAAACAGAGAGUAGAGAAAUUGGCUGAGAGAACUGUAUUCUCAGGAAAGCUGGGUGAACACAAACAACAACAACAAAAAACAAUGAAAGGAAAUAUAAUCACAGCAGCCCUUGGGAUAGCCACUCAUAUACGACUACUGAAACACAAACAAGUAUGUAAUUUGUCUGAAAUCACGUGGCGAAAACUGGCAAGAGCAGGAUUCAAACACAGGCACUAAGGCUACGAAGUCCACCCUCCUGAUCACUAAACUGCAUCGCCUCCUGAGAACUUCUUGCCAAGUAAAAGAAUUCUGAAGGAAGAACAUAAUUUGCAAGAUUUAGAACCACAGCAAGCCAAAAAUAGCCACCUCUCCAGAAGACUGGCCCAAAUACAAGAGGAUAAAGGUUGGAGAGUGCACCAAGACAGAGCACACAGAAACAGUGGAAAUAAUGCCCAGUAAUUUAGUGCUGACUACUCAAUUCACCUGGAAACAAUGCCUUAAAAUCUUCCAGCUUUAGCUUCCUUACUUCUCAGCUGCAGAUUUUUUAAUUAUAAAUCCAUAUUAAAAUGUGGUUAAAAUACACGAUCCAGACUUGUAAUCUGGGUUCCAUUAUUUUCCAACUAUGUCAAUUUAAGCAAAUUAUUUAACCUCUGAGAGGCUCAACUUCCUCCUCCAAAAAAAAUGAGGAAAACAAUGGAGUUAUUCUGAGGACUAAUGAACUAUGCAUAUAAAUAUAUAAAGCACUCAGAGUUACAACCAGUGUAUAAUAAAAGCUCAAGGUUAAUUAUUAUUGUUUUUCAUAAUCAUCAUGACUUUUAGUAUUAAUAUCACGGUUUUUUUUUUACUAAAACUGCCAACUUUUCAAAAACCUCUCCAAGAAGAGCUGCUAUUUUUCCUGAGUUGAUUGGAAAAAGCAAAGGCAACCUCUGCUGGUUUCAUAUAAACAUUAUCAAAUCAAUGAAUCACCAACUCCCUAUGAGAUGGAAGAUGGAGGUUAUCAGGCAUGCCUUUCAAAAAAAGAGCUUUUUUGAAAGGCAUGCCUAAUAAAAAAAA
Mustela erminea (ermine) is the source of this 1072-nucleotide long non-coding RNA. RefSeq lists it as uncharacterized. NCBI's taxonomy places the organism in Eukaryota, Metazoa, Chordata, Mammalia, Carnivora, Mustelidae. The record is from RefSeq and is a predicted model, not a curated record. The transcript is spliced from 2 exons.